This 95-nucleotide transfer RNA is filed under the name Naumovozyma castellii. RNAcentral describes it as "tRNA-Leu". It matches the Rfam family "tRNA". Rfam says of the family: Transfer RNA (tRNA) molecules are approximately 80 nucleotides in length. Their secondary structure includes four short double-helical elements and three loops (D, anti-codon, and T loops). Further hydrogen bonds mediate the characteristic L-shaped molecular structure. tRNAs have two regions of fundamental functional importance: the anti-codon, which is responsible for specific mRNA codon recognition, and the 3' end, to which the tRNAs corresponding amino acid is attached (by aminoacyl-tRNA synthetases). tRNAs cope with the degeneracy of the genetic code in two manners: having more than one tRNA (with a specific anti-codon) for a particular amino acid; and 'wobble' base-pairing, i.e. permitting non-standard base-pairing at the 3rd anti-codon position. Lineage: Eukaryota; Fungi; Ascomycota; Saccharomycetes; Saccharomycetales; Saccharomycetaceae. The record is from RNAcentral.
GGGAGUUUGGCCGAGUGGUUUAAGGCGUCAGAUUUAGGUUCUGCUUAAACAUUCUGAUAUCUUCGGAUGCGUGGGUUCGAAUCCCAUAGCUCUCA